UCUGGAACUCACUCUGUAGACCAGGCUGGCCUCGAACUCACAGAGAUCUCCUUGCCUCUGUUUCCUGAGUGCUGGAA
This 77-nucleotide microRNA precursor is filed under the name Mus caroli (Ryukyu mouse). RNAcentral describes it as "miRNA (MGP_CAROLIEiJ_G0007235.1)". The record is from RNAcentral. Lineage: Eukaryota; Metazoa; Chordata; Mammalia; Rodentia; Muridae.